Long non-coding RNA from Gossypium arboreum, 527 nucleotides. RefSeq lists it as uncharacterized. The transcript is spliced from 2 exons. The record is from RefSeq and is a predicted model, not a curated record. Lineage: Eukaryota; Viridiplantae; Streptophyta; Magnoliopsida; Malvales; Malvaceae.
AUUCCAGCUUAAAGGGUGUUUUUUCUUCUUCCGGAGGGAACCUGAGAAACCCUAAACUUGAUUUUGGGCUAAAAUAGGCCGAUUCAUGGUUUAACCCAACAUAUAAUAACAAAGCCCAACUACGGAAAGGCCAUUAGGGAUUUAGGGUUUUAGCUUUUAAGCCUAUAUAUAUAAUCUCAAAGCCUUACCUUUCUCUUCCCCACUCUCCUCGCAGCCUCCGUAGAAGAACACUACACGAGUGGUUUUGAACUGCAAAAGGAGAUCGAUUUCGAAGCCUUUUCACCAUGAGAGCUAAGUGGAAGAAGAAGCGUAUGAGGAGGUUGAAGAGGAAGAGAAGAAAGAUGAGGCAAAGAUCUAAGUAGUUUAAUUUUAUCUUAAAGCAAGCAAUUUGGUCUAUGUUUCUUUAGAUUUUCUGUUGUUUGAUGGAUACUUUACUUUAAAAGGAUUUAAGUUAUCUUUAUCGAAACCUUUUGAAUAUUCUGGAAACUUGUUAUUUUCUAUUAACAACUUAUGGCUUUGGAUGUUAA